RNAcentral lists this long non-coding RNA (699 nucleotides) under Citrus sinensis (sweet orange). RNAcentral's name for it is "long non-coding RNA (CSIN_LNC000862)". Lineage: Eukaryota; Viridiplantae; Streptophyta; Magnoliopsida; Sapindales; Rutaceae. The record is from RNAcentral.
GUUGCCAUACUCCCAAAUGAUACAUAAACAACACACCCGUUUGCCCGAUCGUUUAACCAUUUGAUGCAAGAUUCAUUAUUUGGCUUAAAGAUGCUGAAACCAUAGUCUUUGUCCUCUUCAAUUUGCUUACCGAGGUACAUAGAUGGUUUUGUUGGUCCAAUUGUCUUCAAUGACCAAUGUUUACCCAGCCAUUGAGCUACCUGCACAAAAUAGAUUAAAAGUCAAUUAAUGUCAACAAGCAUUUUACGAGACUUUUCGUUAGAUCAAUUGGUAAUUAAAAUCUUGUGACAUAAUUAAAAGCUUGGAAUUUGAAUCCAGGCUCAUACGUGUAAACUAGGACAAAGUGAAAUUUUUGAAAAACUUAUAAUUACCUCUUUCUCCAGCUCAUAAAAUGUGUUGCAAAGAACCCAAUCAGCUUUGUCAAUAUUAUCAAAUUGAUAUUUUACCACCAUAUCAGAAACAGCAGGAUAUGACCCCAAAUCGUAAACGAAUGAAGGCAUGUCUUGAGGCUCAAGUGGAGGCAUUCCAGGCAACAAUAAUUGACUGUCUAGAAGUGGAAGCUUGAGCAAGCCCUUGUUCACAUGGUAAUAUAUGCAAUCAACAACACAAGAUUGAGUGAGGAAUGCGGCUCCAACCAGCCCAAACUUCUUAGCGACAUCGAGAGCCCAAGGCAAAAAUGAAUCGUACACAAUGCAGUCG